This is a non-coding RNA of Pangasianodon hypophthalmus (striped catfish), 578 nucleotides long. The record is from the annotation of a RefSeq genome assembly. Lineage: Eukaryota; Metazoa; Chordata; Actinopteri; Siluriformes; Pangasiidae.
AGGUUCCACUCAAACCAUGUUCUCUACAUUUCUACUCCUGCUGUUAACAGCUGCAUCUGGAAUUAAAUGUAUUGAACUGGUUCAGCCUGCAGUCAUGGUGGUUAAGCCUGAAGAAUCAUUUUCAGUCCCCUGUAAGAUCACUGGAUACUCAGCCACAAGUUCCUGUACUAACUGGAUACGACAUGCAUCAGGAAAGGAGUUGGAAUGGAUGGGCUGGUACUGCAGCUCCAGUGAUACUGGCAGCAAAGAUUCACUAAAGAACAAGAUCCAUUUCUCAGCCGAGGCCUCCAGCAACACUGUGAUUUUACACGGGCAAAACUUUCAGACUGAGGACACAGCUGUGUAUUACUGCGCUCGUGAUCCACAGUGAAACAGAUCAACAAAGACCCUGUACAAAAACACCCAGUACAGAAGACUGUAAGAGGCAGAAACAAUGUUUUAUCUCUGUUUUAACUUCUAAGUUUCUCAGAAGUGUGCGAAGACGACGUCAACUAGCUUACAGUCAGUUGAUUUAAUGAGAUUGUAGUGUUCAUUUUAAAACUACAAUUAGAAUUUAAAUAGUUUUUUAAAUCUACUAA